Molecule: ribosomal RNA, 1372 nt
Filed under: uncultured bacterium
Lineage: Bacteria
Description: 16S ribosomal RNA
Rfam family: Bacterial small subunit ribosomal RNA
Source: RNAcentral
UGAACGCUGGCGGUAUGCUUAACACAUGCAAGUCGAACGGAAACGAUACUAGCUUGCUAGUAGGCGUCGAGUGGCGGACGGGUGAGUAACGCGUAGGAAUCUGCCUGAUAGUGGGGGAUAGCCCGAAGAAAUUCGGAUUAAUACCGCAUAAUCUAUUCGUAGUAAAGUGGGGGACUUUCGAGCCUCACGCUAUCAGAUGAGCCUGCGUAAGAUUAGCUAGUUGGUAGAGUAAAAGCCUACCAAGGCAACGAUCUUUAGCUGGUCUGAGAGGAUGAUCAGCCACAUCGGGACUGAGACACGGCCCGAACUCCUACGGGAGGCAGCAGUGGGGAAUAUUGGACAAUGGGGGCAACCCUGAUCCAGCAAUACCGCGUGUGUGAAGAAGGCCUGAGGGUUGUAAAGCACUUUCAAUUGUGAAGAAAAGUUAACGGUUAAUAACCGUUAGCCUUGACGUUAACUUUAGAAGAAGCACCGGCUAACUCCGUGCCAGCAGCCGCGGUAAUACGGAGGGUGCAAGCGUUAAUCGGAAUUACUGGGCGUAAAGCGUGCGUAGGCGGUUUAUUAAGUCAGAUGUGAAAGCCCCGGGCUUAACCUGGGAACUGCAUUUGAAACUGGUCAACUAGAGUAUGGUAGAGGAAAGUGGAAUUUCUGGUGUAGCGGUGAAAUGCGUAGAUAUCAGAAGGAACAUCAAUGGCGAAGGCAGCUUUCUGGACCAAUACUGACGCUGAGGUACGAAAGCGUGGGUAGCAAACAGGAUUAGAUACCCUGGUAGUCCACGCCGUAAACGAUGAUAACUAGCCGUUGGGGGGAUUUACCCUUUAGUGGCGAAGCUAACGCGUUAAGUUAUCCGCCUGGGGAGUACGGCCGCAAGGUUAAAACUCAAAGGAAUUGACGGGGACCCGCACAAGCGGUGGAGCAUGUGGUUUAAUUCGAUGCAACGCGAAGAACCUUACCUGGUCUUGACAUCCUGCGAACUUUCUAGAAAUAGAUUGGUGCCUUCGGGAACGCAGUGACAGGUGCUGCAUGGCUGUCGUCAGCUCGUGUCGUGAGAUGUUGGGUUAAGUCCCGUAACGAGCGCAACCCCUAUCCUUAUUUGCCAGCACGUCAUGGUGGGAACUAUAAGGAGACUGCCGGUGAUAAACCGGAGGAAGGCGGGGACGACGUCAAGUCAUCAUGGCCCUUACGACUAGGGCUACACACGUGCUACAAUGGGAAGGACAAAGAGCCGCGAAGCCGCGAGGUGUAGCUAAUCUCAGAAACCUUUUCGUAGUCCGGAUUGGAGUCUGCAACUCGACUCCAUGAAGUCGGAAUCGCUAGUAAUCGUAGAUCAGAAUGCUACGGUGAAUACGUUCCCGGGUCUUGUACACACCGC